UUGGACGAGAUCAUACCAACCGACUUACCAACCAAAGCUCCAGUCGUCGUCUAUAAAAGGAAGCCCAAAGAGGAUCCUGAAAAAAGGUACGCCAUUAUUCUACCUCUCACGCUCCUUCAUUUGUUGAACAAGAGUUCUGACUUGAGUGUCAGAAGGUCUCCACCAGAGCAACCUUUGAUCAAGACUUUUUUACAGGUCAUACCCCCAGG
RNAcentral lists this long non-coding RNA (209 nucleotides) under Elaeis guineensis (African oil palm). Its description in RNAcentral is "long non-coding RNA (EGUI_LNC024302)". Lineage: Eukaryota; Viridiplantae; Streptophyta; Magnoliopsida; Arecales; Arecaceae. The record is from RNAcentral.